RNAcentral lists this ribosomal RNA (471 nucleotides) under uncultured Rothia sp. RNAcentral describes it as "bacterial SSU rRNA". It matches the Rfam family "Bacterial small subunit ribosomal RNA", at positions 31 to 507 of the family's 1533-position model. The record is from RNAcentral. Lineage: Bacteria; Bacillati; Actinomycetota; Actinomycetes; Micrococcales; Micrococcaceae.
AGAGAACGCUGGCGGCGUGCUUAACACAUGCAAGUCGAACGAUGAAGCCUAGCUUGCUAGGUGGAUUAGUGGCGAACGGGUGAGUAAUACGUGAGUAACCUACCUUUAACUCUGGGAUAAGCCUGGGAAACUGGGUCUAAUACCGGAUACGACCAAUCUCCGCAUGGGGUGUUGGUGGAAAGCGUUAUGUAGUGGUUAUAGAUGGGCUCACGGCCUAUCAGCUUGUUGGUGAGGUAACGGCUCACCAAGGCGACGACGGGUAGCCGGCCUGAGAGGGUGACCGGCCACACUGGGACUGAGGCACGGCCCAGACUCCUACGGGAGGCAGCAGUGGGGAAUAUUGCACAAUGGGCGCAAGCCUGAUGCAGCGACGCCGCGUGAGGGAUGACGGCCUUCGGGUUGUAAACCUCUGUUAGCAGGGAAGAAGAGAGAUUGACGGUACCUGCAGAGAAAGCGCCGGCUAACUACGUG